RNAcentral lists this long non-coding RNA (290 nucleotides) under Homo sapiens (human). RNAcentral describes it as "non-protein coding LINC00944:11". The record is from RNAcentral. Lineage: Eukaryota; Metazoa; Chordata; Mammalia; Primates; Hominidae.
UAACACUGGAGAGAGAGACUGUGGAAUGGAAUGACUCUCCAGAGCUGCAGAUUGAAGGCAUAUUUUCAUCUGACUUUGAUCUCAAUGGCGGGAACACCUUCAUGGCCCCUUUAUAGCUGGAUGAUCAUUUCCUGUUCUCUCCACCAUGGCCACCUGGUCCAAGCCACCAUCUUCAUGCACCUGGAUACCUGCCAUAACCUCAGCUGACCUUUCCUGUGUCCAUUCUUGUUCCUUUGGGCCCAGUCUCCUCGCUCAUAGCAGCAGAAUGAGUCUAUUAAAAAGUGAAACAA